UUUUUUUUGAUAAACCCUACCGGCUAAUCUGGUCAGCCUCGGCAGAAACGCACCGAAAUAUUUUAGAGUGGACUUCUCACCGAAGGACUACCAUACUGUCUGUUCUGAAUUUGAAAUGUUUUCCGACUAAUGAAAGGGGAUAGUCAGACCGGCUGCAUUUCUAACUACCAGGUAAACCAAUUGACCCAAGGCCUAACUGAGAGACUUCUCAAAACAAAUAUGAUUUUUGUUUUCAGGGAGGAUCGAACUCGGAUCUACAAGUUUCACUAUUCCCUAAAUCUUCUCCUACCACUAGACCAUAGAUGUUUGGGCUACUCAUGCAAUCAUAAGACAUAGAAAUGAAAGGUUUUAUUUCUUUUUAUGUCCCGUUUACAAGUCUCUGGGUAAAUCACUUGAAUAAAUUCACAACCCAAU
RNAcentral lists this small RNA (414 nucleotides) under Arabidopsis thaliana (thale cress). Its description in RNAcentral is "ATSL102420". Lineage: Eukaryota; Viridiplantae; Streptophyta; Magnoliopsida; Brassicales; Brassicaceae. The record is from RNAcentral.